AUGAACAAAAUGAAUAAUAGUAGUAGUAGCAAUAAUAAUAAUGAUCUGUUCAAUUUAUUUUUGGGUAAUAAUAAUAGUAAUAACAAUAACAACAAAAAUAAUGAUAGUAAUAACAACAACAACAACAAUAAUGAUAGUAAUAAUAGGGAGAGGGAGCAGCCUAAUAGUCCCAAUGAACCCAGCUGUUGCAGUAACAAAGCUGAUGUCACAAAAAUGGAGUCAGAAAAAAACAAAGCGCUUGAUGCAAAUGAUAUAUAUAUAAUUAUAACAAAAAUCAAAAAAUCAAUUGAGUUAUUGAUCGAAUUUUUUAAAGAUAUACAAAACUGUUUUACCUGUAGUGCUAGUAGUGGGAAUUGUAUCACUACCAACGCAAACUACGAAUGUUCAAGCGACUUUAUCGAAUUUAAAAAAUUAUUUAAUGAAGAAAUAAACGCUUUGAUAUGUUUAUUUUGUAGUUAUUUAAUUUAUGAUAAUGUUUAUUAUAUUGAUGAAUUUGUGAAAUUAUUAGAACUGUUUUUUGUAUGUGUGAAAAAACAAAAUUUCAAAUUUUUAAUAUUAAUUAUAAAGGGAGUUGAAAUUAAUCGUUAUUAUAAUAAUAAAAUUAUUAUAUCCAAAUUGUUUUUACAUAUUUUUGAUAGAAGCAUGAAAAAUGUUAUACAUGUAAACAUUUUAUUAAAUUUGUUUACUAAGUGUAUAUAUAAUGUGGUGGAACAUAUACAAAUGGGUGAUAUUUGUAGUAGCAGUAGUAAUAAUAAUAAAAGUAACAUAAAUAAUAAGCCUUAUAACGAAUAUUAUACUAGCAAUAUAAACUUGAUCAAAAAAAUUAUGAACAAUACAUACGACUUUGUUUCGAUAGUACAUAUACCAAUAGAUAAAGUACAUUCUUUAGAUUUUGUUUAUAUAAUAUGUGAAGAUGAAUAUAUGAAUAAAACAAAAGUAGAUCCAUUUUAUCAAAAAAAUAUAAAAAAUGUAAUUUUGUUUGGUAUACACUUUUUUUUUAAUUAUUAUUUUGAAAUGUUAUAUGACAAAAAUAAAAAAAUUGCAAAUACUUCUGUAGACGUUUUUAAAGACAAUUAUUAUAAUGUGUGUAAUAAACAAAUUCAAAAAAAUGAAAAAACAUUUUUUUUAGGUCUUAAAAUUUUAUUAUGUAUUUCAUCCUUAUUGUUUUUAAGGUUUGACUCUUUUGUUAUUACGUCUAUUCUCAAAAAGGAAGAAAUUUUAUUUAUGCAGGUAUGUGUUGCAUGCUUAAUUAUAACAGCAAUUUGUAACAAAUUAUGCAAAUACUACACAUAG
This 1293-nucleotide long non-coding RNA is filed under the name Piliocolobus tephrosceles (Ugandan red Colobus). Its description in RNAcentral is "lncRNA (ENSPTEG00000011596.1)". Lineage: Eukaryota; Metazoa; Chordata; Mammalia; Primates; Cercopithecidae. The record is from RNAcentral.